GAGUUUUUCGGCUAUGCGAGUACACUAACGGGUACCCCGACUGGUGCAUUCGAAGGCUUACCGCUUUAAGUUGAAAAUUGUGUCGGGGAAACAUCUCUGACAGGCUACUUGGUUGUUUUCAAAUCACCCCCCUUCCGGAAAGUUUCCCCACAUUUACUUGGGCCACCCCCCCCGAAGGCCGCGGGAAGUCAAUUUUUCGCCCCCCACCCCAAAAGAAUUUUUUGUUUUUUUCAGGGGGGGGGAAGAAAUUUGACCCCCCCCCCCGUGUUUUCCGUCCUUAAAAGGGUUUGGGGGCAAAAUUUGUUUAAAAAAUCGAUGGUUCACGGGAGUUUUCAAAUUCCACCCCCGGGUUUUAAUUCUGUUAAGUAAAAAAAGUGUACAAGGUUUCCGUAGGUGAACCUGCGGAAGGAUCAUUG
RNAcentral lists this ribosomal RNA (416 nucleotides) under Mangifera indica (mango). RNAcentral's name for it is "partial 18S ribosomal RNA". The record is from RNAcentral. Lineage: Eukaryota; Viridiplantae; Streptophyta; Magnoliopsida; Sapindales; Anacardiaceae.